AUUGAACGCUGGCGGCAUGCCUUACACAUGCAAGUCUAACGGCAGCACGGGGCAACCUGGUGGCGAGUGGCGAACGGGUGAGUAAUGCAUCGGAACGUGCCAUUGAGUGGGGGAUAACGUAGCGAAAGUUGCGCUAAUACCGCAUAUUCUGUGAGCAGGAAAGCAGGGGACCGCAAGGCCUUGCGCUCUUUGAGCGGCCGAUGUCAGAUUAGCUAGUUGGUGAGGUAACGGCUUACCAAGGCGACGAUCUGUAGCGGGUCUGAGAGGAUGAUCCGCCACACUGGAACUGAGACACGGUCCAGACUCCUACGGGAGGCAGCAGUGGGGAAUUUUGGACAAUGGGCGCAAGCCUGAUCCAGCCAUGCCGCGUGAGUGAAGAAGGCC
RNAcentral lists this ribosomal RNA (384 nucleotides) under uncultured bacterium. RNAcentral describes it as "bacterial SSU rRNA". It matches the Rfam family "Bacterial small subunit ribosomal RNA", at positions 30 to 416 of the family's 1533-position model. The record is from RNAcentral.